GUGGCAGCGACGGGUAACGGGGAAUUAGGGUUCGAUUCCGGAGAGGGAGCCUGAGAAACGGCUACCACAUCUAAGGAAGGCAGCAGGCGCGCAAAUUACCCAAUGAAAACAGUUUCGAGGUAGUGACGAGAAAUAACAAUACAGAGCAUUUAAUGUUUUGUAAUUGGAAUGGUGGGAAUCUAAACCCCUUUCAGAGUAACAAUUGGAGGGAAAGUCUGGUGCCAGCAGCCGCGGUAAUUCCAGCUCCAAUAGCGUAUAUUUGAGUUGUUGCAGUUAAAAAGCUCGUAGUUGGAUUUCUGUUUUGUUUUUGUGUUUUCGCCUACUUAAAUGUGGGUGUUAUUUACAUAGAGACAGGACAUUCUCUUGAUGUUGCCUAUAUUUUUUAUUGUAUUUUAUUUGCCUUGGCUUAAUUGUCUGGGUUUUUAAAAUAUAUGGAUUGUGUAGGUAUAUAAAAAAAU
This 458-nucleotide ribosomal RNA is filed under the name Goussia sp. RNAcentral describes it as "SSU rRNA". It matches the Rfam family "Eukaryotic small subunit ribosomal RNA", at positions 346 to 810 of the family's 1831-position model. The record is from RNAcentral. Lineage: Eukaryota; Apicomplexa; Conoidasida; Eucoccidiorida; Eimeriidae.